Molecule: long non-coding RNA, 1196 nt
Filed under: Cottoperca gobio
Lineage: Eukaryota; Metazoa; Chordata; Actinopteri; Perciformes; Bovichtidae
Description: lncRNA (ENSCGOG00000022994.1)
Source: RNAcentral
GUGGUGGUCAUCUCCUGUGUGCUGGGAGGAGUUCUUCUCAUCCUUGUGCUGGCUUUGCUCAUAUACUGCUGCUGGAGAGGAUGCUCAAUGAGCAAGCCAGACUACAACAGCAGUCCAUACUCAUCAGGUGACGUAAACCAGCCCUGGCCCACUGGCGUCACCUCCAUCCCCCGGGCCACCACUAACUGGGAUGCAGCUCCUCCCAUAGAAAUGACAGAUGGGGGCAGCACUCGUGUCCUGGUGGACAAAAAGCAUGAAACCAACGGAUUGUCGGGAUCAUACGAUGUCAACCCAGAGGGGAUGAACACCUUCAAAGGUAAAAAUCCAUCCCGUUACUCCUAUCUGGUUCAAGGACACGAGAACCCCUACUUCUUAGCAGGAGAAGGCAAGAAAAACUGAUGGGAUCAACCAGAAGCCACUGGUUUUAAACUCUGGGUCUACAGGCUCAUCUCCUGAGCAGGACCCGGUUAUUUAUACUUUCUUGAAUUUGCUUUGAUUAAGGACAUUUUCUAACUGGGAAACAGCCACCAAAGGUUUUCAUUCAUACGAGCAAGAACAUUUGAACAACUUCUUUUUGCGUGUUCUUCGGGAGAGCUAAAUGUUGCUGAUCAUGACCAGUAGAUGUCGCUGUUGCUCAGUGUCAUUCUCCUACUGUUUUAGAAGGUACGUUACAUUUUUCUUAUGCUUUUUAUUAAGAAAUCCUCCUGUAGUCUUUUUAAAUGAAGCUUCUUAUAUUUCUUAUUGCACUAAAGUGUCUGUUAAGUUUACUCUGAAAUCUAAGGUGAAUGUGGGCUUUUAGAUAUUUUUAUGAGGGGUAUGAUGGUUUUUUUAGAAAAGUAAAUUUUGUACGACUAAAGGGGCUGGAUCCCUUGUUCGGGGUGUUUUUAAAGGGAUUUAACUUUAGCUGUCUAAAGCUGAAUAUUCUCUGUAUUUGUUGAAGCUGCACUUGCUAAAUGUGCCUGUUUUUAAUCGUCUGUUUGACAAACAGGAACCUGUCUCCUAGAUGUGCCAAUUAUCAGUUGUAUACAUUUAUAUAUAUUUAUCCUUGUGUGUCUGAGACAGUGCACUCUUUUAUAAGUGUGUAACGGUUUUGUAAAUAAUUGAAGAUCUUUUGUCACAGAAUGUGUAUGUGCGGCGUGUGUGCAAUGGAAAUAAAUUAAUUUAAACACAACAGUUUUAUUUCUCAUCAUUGGUGG